Glycine soja is the source of this 288-nucleotide long non-coding RNA. RefSeq lists it as uncharacterized. NCBI's taxonomy places the organism in Eukaryota, Viridiplantae, Streptophyta, Magnoliopsida, Fabales, Fabaceae. The record is from RefSeq and is a predicted model, not a curated record. The transcript has 3 exons.
AGAAGAGUUCAAAUUUUAGCAGAUUCAAGUGUUGACCUGCUUGCAUUUGAAACAGUGCCCAAUAAGCUUGAAGCUGAGGCUUUUGCUCAGCUUCUGGAAGAAGAGGACAUAAAGAUUCCAGCAUGGUUUUCUUUUAACUCAUGGAGUUAAUGUUGUUAGUGGUGAUUCUUUAAUGGAAUGUGGCUCUAUUGCUGAAUCAGGUGACUACAAAACCAAUUGUUAUAUAUCCAAACAGUGGGGAAACUUACGAUGCUGACCUAAAGGAGUGGGUGGUAAGUUUAUUUCAUG